Transfer RNA from Camelus ferus (Wild Bactrian camel), 72 nucleotides. It matches the Rfam family "tRNA". From Rfam's summary of the family: Transfer RNA (tRNA) molecules are approximately 80 nucleotides in length. Their secondary structure includes four short double-helical elements and three loops (D, anti-codon, and T loops). Further hydrogen bonds mediate the characteristic L-shaped molecular structure. tRNAs have two regions of fundamental functional importance: the anti-codon, which is responsible for specific mRNA codon recognition, and the 3' end, to which the tRNAs corresponding amino acid is attached (by aminoacyl-tRNA synthetases). tRNAs cope with the degeneracy of the genetic code in two manners: having more than one tRNA (with a specific anti-codon) for a particular amino acid; and 'wobble' base-pairing, i.e. permitting non-standard base-pairing at the 3rd anti-codon position. Lineage: Eukaryota; Metazoa; Chordata; Mammalia; Artiodactyla; Camelidae. The record is from Rfam.
GAGGGUGCAUCUCAGUGGUAGAGUGCAUGCCUAGCAUGCACAAGGUCCUGGGUUCAAUCCCCAGUACCUCCA